This 385-nucleotide ribosomal RNA is filed under the name uncultured bacterium. Its description in RNAcentral is "bacterial SSU rRNA". It matches the Rfam family "Bacterial small subunit ribosomal RNA", at positions 30 to 416 of the family's 1533-position model. The record is from RNAcentral.
AUUGAACGCUGGCGGCAUGCCUUACACAUGCAAGUCGAACGGCAGCACGGGAGCAAUCCUGGUGGCGAGUGGCGAACGGGUGAGUAAUAUAUCGGAACGUGCCCAGUCGUGGGGAUAACGUAGCGAAAGCUACGCUAAUACCGCAUACGAUCUAUGGAUGAAAGCGGGGGAUCGCAAGACCUCGCGCGAUUGGAGCGGCCGAUAUCAGAUUAGGUAGUUGGUGAGGUAAAGGCUCACCAAGCCGACGAUCUGUAGCUGGUCUGAGAGGAUGACCAGCCACACUGUGACUUAGACACGGCCCAGACUCCUACGGGAGGCAGCAGUGGGGAAUUUUGGACAAUGGGCGCAAGCCUGAUCCAGCAAUGCCGCGUGCAGGAUGAAGGCC